GGUUUUCCUGGGGGCCUCAGAGUGGUUUAGCCUCUUCCCAAACUGGGUAAUUCAUGGUUCACCAUCCUAGAUCUUUUCCCAAAUUGACUUUUGAGUAGCCAGAACUCACGGCAGCUGGAUUCUGUGCUCUUUCCCUUAGAUUUUGUGAUAUACUACUCCUCCCCAUCCCCACCCUAUGUCCUAUCCUAGUGAUCUGUUCCUUUCCAUCUCCUGAACAAGCAGUUCAAAGUCUUUUUUUUUUUUCUGGGCAUGGCCAGUUCAGAGCUUUGCAGCACUGGCUCUUCCAGGCUGCAACCCCCAAAAGGCUAUAGCUCCUGAAGGUUUGAAAGUUGGUGGUUGAGGUCCAAGAAAAACUUCUGCAGCCUAGAUCCAGAGUCUCUACAGCAAUGGAAAGAGCAAGGGGCACUGGAACAUAGGGCAACCAUGAUUGAUUGAUUUCAUAGGAGACACUAAAUGCUUCAUGGAAACUGUCAACAUGGAAUCUAGAAGAGAUCCAAGCAGCGCAUCUGCAGCUUCAAGCUGAAGGUCCCGAGUUCGAUCCUCAUUAGGAGGUUGUGAUGUACUGGGAGAGGCUUCUGGAGACUGGAAGAGUCACUGGACUUCGGCUUGGGCUUAGCCCCCAUCUGGAGGGAGUGGUGGAUUCUCACCGGAACAGGCUCAAGCCUGAGGCUUUCCCCUCCGAGCUAAGUAACCCUGGGAAUCACUCAGUCUUUCUAGGCUAAGUCUGGGGGCUUCUAGAUUCCAUGUUGACGCAACAAACUGUCUUUAAAUCCUGAAAGUUAUUUUUUUCAUGUUUUGAGAAUUUGUUCAUGUGACUUUAUGUGUUUUUGGUAUUCCAAGUAUUUCUAAUGUGGAGAAGGAAAUAAAUGGCUGUCCUUAUGUGUUA
Molecule: non-coding RNA, 886 nt
Organism: Monodelphis domestica (gray short-tailed opossum)
Lineage: Eukaryota; Metazoa; Chordata; Mammalia; Didelphimorphia; Didelphidae
Source: RefSeq, a predicted model, not a curated record